Molecule: non-coding RNA, 117 nt
Organism: Hypoxylon sp. NC0597
Lineage: Eukaryota; Fungi; Ascomycota; Sordariomycetes; Xylariales; Hypoxylaceae
Source: the annotation of a GenBank genome assembly
GGGAGUUUGGCCGAGUGGUUAAGGCGUUGUGUUUAGGUUUUCUAUCUUCUGAUGAAGAAUAUCUUGAACUCCGACCCGCAAUGGGAAACCGCGCAGGUUCGAAUCCUGCAGCUCUCA